Molecule: ribosomal RNA, 468 nt
Filed under: uncultured bacterium
Lineage: Bacteria
Description: partial 16S ribosomal RNA
Rfam family: Bacterial small subunit ribosomal RNA
Source: RNAcentral
GACGAACGCUGGCGGCGUGCUUAACACAUGCAAGUCGAACGGAAAGGCCCUGCUUUUGUGGAGUGCUCGAGUGGCGAACGGGUGAGUAACACGUGAGUAACCUGCCCUUGACUUUGGGAUAACUUCAGGAAACUGGGGCUAAUACCGGAUAGGAGCUCCUGCUGCAUGGUGGGGGUUGGAAAGUUUCGGCGGUUGGGGAUGGACUCGCGGCUUAUCAGCUUGUUGGUGGGGUAGUGGCUUACCAAGGCUUUGACGGGUAGCCGGCCUGAGAGGGUGACCGGCCACAUUGGGACUGAGAUACGGCCCAGACUCCUACGGGAGGCAGCAGUGGGGAAUAUUGCACAAUGGGCGGAAGCCUGAUGCAGCAACGCCGCGUGCGGGAUGACGGCCUUCGGGUUGUAAACCGCUUUCGCCUGUGACGAAGCGUGAGUGACGGUAAUGGGUAAAGAAGCACCGGCUAACUACGCG